AACGAACGCUGGCGGCAUGCCUAACACAUGCAAGUCGAACGGGAUCCUGGCUUCGGUCAGGUGAGAGUGGCGGACGGGUGAGUAACGCGUGGGAACCUGCCCAGUGGUGGGGGAUAACUGCGGGAAACUGCAGCUAAUACCGCAUGAGCCCGAGAGGGGAAAGAUUUAUCGCCAUUGGAGGGGCCCGCGUUCGAUUAGGUAGUUGGUGAGGUAACGGCUCACCAAGCCGACGAUCGAUAGCUGGUCUGAGAGGAUGAUCAGCCACACUGGGACUGAGAUACGGCCCAGACUCCUACGGGAGGCAGCAGUGGGGAAUAUUGGACAAUGGGGGCAACCCUGAUCCAGCAAUGCCGCGUGAGUGAUGAAGGCCGUUCGGUGUAAGCUCUUUGGUCGGGGGACGAGUGACGACGGUACCGCACGAAUAAGCCCGGCUAACUUCGUGCCAGCAGCCGCGGUAAU
Molecule: ribosomal RNA, 459 nt
Filed under: uncultured bacterium
Lineage: Bacteria
Description: bacterial SSU rRNA
Rfam family: Bacterial small subunit ribosomal RNA
Source: RNAcentral